GUAGGUGGCAAGCGUUGUCCGGAAUUAUUGGGCGUAAAGCGCGCGCAGGCGGUCCUUUAAGUCUGAUGUGAAAGCCCACGGCUCAACCGUGGAGGGUCAUUGGAAACUGGGGGACUUGAGUACAGAAGAGGAAAGCGGAAUUCCACGUGUAGCGGUGAAAUGCGUAGAGAUGUGGAGGAACACCAGUGGCGAAGGCGGCUUUCUGGUCUGUAACUGACGCUGAGGCGCGAAAGCGUGGGGAGCAAACAGGGAUUAGAUACCCUGGUAGUCCACGCCGUAAACGAUGAGUGCUAAGUGUUAGGGGGUUUCCGCCCCCUUAGUGCUGCAGCUAACGCAUUAAGCACUCGCCUGGGGAUACGGCCGCAAGGCUG
This 371-nucleotide ribosomal RNA is filed under the name uncultured organism. RNAcentral describes it as "partial 16S ribosomal RNA". It matches the Rfam family "Bacterial small subunit ribosomal RNA", at positions 527 to 896 of the family's 1533-position model. The record is from RNAcentral.